Non-coding RNA from Triticum urartu, 87 nucleotides. NCBI's taxonomy places the organism in Eukaryota, Viridiplantae, Streptophyta, Magnoliopsida, Poales, Poaceae. The record is from Rfam.
GAGGAUGAUGAUUUCAUAUUUGUCGCCCCAGUCUUAGGGUCUGCAUUGUUGGAUCUGUGCUGAUUGACAUACUUCUGAAUCUGACUC